GUCGUGAGAUGUUGGGUUAAGUCCCGCAACGAGCGCAACCCCUAUCCUCAGUUGCCAUCAUUAAGUUGGGCACUCUGUGGAGACUGCCGGUGUUAAACCGGAGGAAGGUGGGGAUGACGUCAAGUCCUCAUGGCCCUUAUGACCAGGGCUACACACGUGCUACAAUGGCCGGUACAAAGAGUUGCGAUACCGCGAGGUGGAGCCAAUCUCAUAAAGCCGGUCUCAGUUCGGAUUAGAGUCUGCAACUCGACUCUAUGAAGUUGGAAUCGCUAGUAAUCGCGGAUCAGCACGCCGCGGUGAAUACGUUCCCGGGCCUUGUACACACCGCCCGUCACACCACGGGAGUCGAUUGGUCCCGAAGUGCGUGAGCUAACCCCUUGUGGGAGGCAGCGUCCUAAGGAAUGGUCGGUGACUGGGGUGAAGUCGUAACAAGGUAGCCGUAGGGGAACCUGCGGCUGGAUCACCUCCUUUCUAAGGAGCUAGAAGGCUAGACCUUCCAAGCUUACCUAGGUCAAAACACAAUCACUCACUUUAGCUGCUAUUCGGUUUUGAGAGACCAGAGUCUUCUCUGGUUUUUUGCUCUUUAUAACUUAAUGUGUGUCGUGAAAGCGAUGACACGAUUUGAUGGGCUUGUAGCUCAGUUGGCUAGAGCACACGACUGAUAAUCGUGAGGUCGCUGGUUCGAGUCCAGCCAGGCCCACCAACCUUUAUUGGGGGUGUAGCUCAGCUGGGAGAGCACCUGCCUUGCACGCAGGGGGUCAUCGGUUCGAACCCGUUCACCUCCACCAAUAAUUUGAGAAGAUGGCUUCAAGCUAUCUGAUCAGAACAGUUCUUUGACAAUUGCAUAGUGGAUAGUUUAGGUGGUAGAUGCGUACUCAGUGCGUACGUAUUUACUUGAAUUGUAUGAAUUUGUAGAUUGAUUUCGAUUUUUUAUGGUCAAGCUACUAAGGGCGUACGGUGGAUGCCUAGGCAGAGAGAGGCGAUGAAGGACGUGGUAAACUGCGAUAAGCUUCGGUGAGCCGUUAAACAGGCUUUGACCCGGAGAUUU
RNAcentral lists this small RNA (1048 nucleotides) under uncultured Pelobacter sp. RNAcentral describes it as "bacterial SSU rRNA". The stretch from base 1 to 471 matches the Rfam family "Bacterial small subunit ribosomal RNA", at positions 1064 to 1533 of the family's 1533-position model. Lineage: Bacteria; Pseudomonadati; Thermodesulfobacteriota; Desulfuromonadia; Desulfuromonadales; Desulfuromonadaceae. The record is from RNAcentral.